RNAcentral lists this unclassified non-coding RNA (3747 nucleotides) under Dimorphilus gyrociliatus. Its description in RNAcentral is "non-specific serine/threonine protein kinase". The record is from RNAcentral. Lineage: Eukaryota; Metazoa; Annelida; Polychaeta; Dinophilidae.
CAAAAGAGGUCACGUGGAUUAUGUCCAUGGACGAUGAGCGAGCGCGAAGAGUGAUAAAUUGAAAAUUGAUUGUUUUAUUGAUGUUUUUCUAAACGUGAAUAAUUUUUGUGAAUCAGCUAAACCGUUCUUUUUGGUACUUGUUAUGUGGGCAUCGGUGAGACACAGUUAAGUGGAAUAAAAUAGGUUCUGUAUUACCUAUUAUUCAUGGGUUCUACCUGUAAAAAUGCAUAAAGCUGAAUAUCCGGUUUCCAAAUGAACUUCAAAUUUCGUAGAUUUUUGUUUUGAUUUUGCUGUAGUAGCCUAAAUUCGAUGGGCGUGGUAAAUAAACCAGUGUAGAUGAAAAGGUGAAAGGUGCUAAGGAUCAGCGUCAUUGUAAUAGCAUUUAUCGCUUUGGUAGUCAAUUGCGUUGAGUUGAUCUGCUCAAGAGGUUUGGAUUGGAAGUAAAAACUUCGAAUGGUCGUUGGCUAUUUGCCAAAGUUUGGUGCUCUUUUUCAAAGUCCCGGGUUUUUUAUUAGGUGAAAACCGAGACGGGGCCGAUUAAUGUAUUAUUCGAUCUCACAGAAGUAAUUUGGGGAUUAGAGGUGAAAGCAGUAAUAUUAUUUUUACUACUGUGAAAUUGAUAUUGCUACAGGAUCUUUUUACCUUUUUGAUUUCCUCUUUUGUGUACGGUUAAGUAGGAGAACCGGAAGUUUUGCUAUCUAAAAAGUAGUAGUGUAAACCUAGACAGAAUUAAUGCGCUUGUCGUAUAGAAUUUUAUCAGAACGUAUUUACCAUUCUCGCAAUUUAUAAACAGGUAAUAAAAGAUGUUCGGUAAAAAGAAGGAAAAAAAAGUUAAGGUGGAAAUAUCCCGCCCGAUGGACUUUGAACAUCGGGUUCACACAGGAUUUGACUAUAGACAUGGUGAGUAUGUUGGUCUUCCACCUCAGUGGGCAUCGCUAUUGUCGAGCACAAGUUCCCGACCUAUACCAGUCAUUGAUCCUUGUUCAAUUACACCAACGGAUAUGGCUCCGUUGAAGCAAAUCGUCCGAGGAGGAACUGCACAUACAGGGAGCUCGUCCAAGCCUGUAUCUGUUGCGCGAUCAAAUUCGUUACGAAGUGAUAACCAACCGCAAGCUCCUCGGACUUCACAAUAUCAACCAUCUCAGCCCACUUUGCACGAACAUAAUAAUGGUUUUAAUGGACAAAGGAGCGACCCUUAUAGACAGGAUAGAAUUGACAGCCACAAUGCCUAUCCAAACUACUCAACGAACGAACGAUAUGAACAACGACCAACUGCGGCAAGUCCGCCACACAAUAAUUAUAUGCACACACCACCAAGGCAACAGCCGGCGGAUUAUACGGAUGCCUACGGCUAUGGAGCAAAACAACAAAAUCGUCCUCCAAGAACAUUGGAACAGCAGCAUUCUCCCCAAUAUUCUACUCAGUCCGGAAACAGCGGCUCGUAUAACCCUUAUAACAAUAACAACGGCCAACCAACACCACAACAAUACUACGAUAAUCAUGUUUCUACUACUGAACGUCCUAUGUUGUCACCGUCUGGAAAUAUGUCAUCAACGCCACAUAGUCCAACAUCCCCUACUAACACUUUACCCGCUUCCCCUGCAAGUCCGUACGGAGACCAAAGAUACUCACACGAGCAGUUCCGUACAGCUUUAAAAAUGGUUGUUAAACCUGGCGAUCCUCGGUCACUUUUUGAUAAUUAUACAAAAAUUGGUGAAGGUAGUACCAGUAUAGUUGAAACUGCCAGACGAAGAAGUUCUGGCGAAGUAGUAGCCAUUAAGAAGAUGGACUUGCGACGUCAACAGCGUCGUGAGCUUCUUUUUAAUGAAGUUGUAAUCAUGCGAGAUUAUCAACAUCCUAAUAUCGUCGAAAUGUACGAUAGUUAUGUUGUAGAAGAUGAAUUAUGGGUUGUUAUGGAAUAUUUAGCUGGUGGUGCCCUAACCGAUCUGGUAACGAAUGUUAAGAUGAACGAAGAGCAAAUUGCAACUGUUUUAAAAUCUUGUUUAAAAUCUUUGGCGUAUUUGCAUUCGAAUGGUGUCAUUCACCGAGACAUUAAGAGCGAUUCUAUUUUAUUAGCUCCCGACGGUAGAAUUAAGUUGUCAGAUUUCGGCUUUUGUGCUCAGAUUUCUCAUGAGCUGCCUAAAAGAAAGAGUUUAGUGGGCACACCUUAUUGGAUGGCACCGGAAGUUAUUUCUAGGUUACCCUACGGAACCGAAGUAGACAUUUGGUCAUUGGGUAUUAUGCUUGUUGAAAUGGUAGAUGGUGAACCACCUUUCUUUAAUGAACCACCUUUACAAGCAAUGCGUAGAAUUCGCGAUAUGCCACCUCCUAAAUUAAAAAAUCCUACAAAAGUCUCUCCAAGGUUGCAUGCCUUUUUAGAUCGCAUGUUGGUGAGAGAUCCUACGCAAAGGGCAACUGCUUUUGAACUACUACAACAUCCGUUUUUAAGACAAGCUAGUAACCAAUCUUGUCUAAGGCCCUUAAUGAGAUCUCCCGCUUCUUCCGUUCAACAACCACUUCCACAUCAUGAUUUGAAACACCAUCACGCUUAUGCCCAACCUAGAAUGUGAAAGGAGUGAGUUAAGAUAAUAUUAUUUGUUAUUCGACUGUAGUUGUCUAUUAGUUUGUUUUUUAGCAUGAUGAGCAGGCACUUGAAGAGGGUAUAAAACUGUGAUUAAAUAUUGCUCAUAUCAAUCUAAAAAAAAGAAAAACAUAUCAAUUUCUGCCUAACACUUGUAGAGUUGAUUAACCUGCUUUAAUUCUUGCAUAAGCACAUGUGUCAAUUAACAUAUCGAUAUAUAUAUAUAUGUAUAUAUAUAUAUAUAUAUAUAUAUAUAUACUUUUAGUAUAUAUGUGCAUACAUAUACUCAUCAUUAGAAAUUGUACAGGUAUACAAAAUAAUCCGUCUUCGUUUUUUUAUUAUUAAAACAUCAUGUCAACUUUUUUCGUUCUGUUUUCAAUUUGGUGCCUUUUUGAUAUUUGCACUUGUUUGUACGUUAUCUAUUCUAUCUCUAAUGUAUACCCAGAAUGUUAUAUUUUAUGCUGUAUAUGAAUGUAUAUAACCUAUAUGUUGAAUACGUUUUUUAAUGUAGUUUGAAAACUAAUUUGCAUAAGGAAAUGAGGGAUAUAUCUUUAUAUUCGUUCUUGACGACGUUAAGAAUACAUAUUCUUUAGAAUGAAUGAAUUAAAAAAAAAAUUUUAUAAGUAACAACAACAAUGUGCGAUUUUUAUAAUGUGAUCAAACUGACAAUCAUCAAUCUAAGAUAAAAUGCAAUCACGAAAACAGCAGAGUCAUCAAUUUUAAUGUUAACCAAUAAUAAAAGAAAUGGAAACAUAUUUCAUUCCUUAUCAAUCAACUGCCUUAUAACCCGGUUUAUUAAGUGUUUUACUAAUAAAAUAAGCAAAAAUAAUUAUGAUGAUGAAAAUUCCAAGGGAAGAGGCAACAACCAGAGGUACAAUAUUCUGUUUUGCUUGUUUAUUGGCGACGUCCGCUGGACAGUCGUGACCUGUUAUAUUAAUAUUUAUUCUUUGUUUAUAUAAAGUCUUAUGCUUUCCUUCUAUUUGCUUUUUUCUUUUAACUAUAUUAUACUCUUUGUUUGUUUAUUUUUAAUAAAUUGAUUAAAGGAAGAAAGGUUUGAAAGUGUAACACUUACUUUUUAAGAAUUUGCCACUCUCCGGUACGUUGAACGGUUGAAAUCGUACAUUUUUCAAAUGAAGCUUAGCAUUUUUAAACUGACUGGUUUUUUU